Transfer RNA from Filimonas lacunae, 74 nucleotides. It matches the Rfam family "tRNA". Rfam says of the family: Transfer RNA (tRNA) molecules are approximately 80 nucleotides in length. Their secondary structure includes four short double-helical elements and three loops (D, anti-codon, and T loops). Further hydrogen bonds mediate the characteristic L-shaped molecular structure. tRNAs have two regions of fundamental functional importance: the anti-codon, which is responsible for specific mRNA codon recognition, and the 3' end, to which the tRNAs corresponding amino acid is attached (by aminoacyl-tRNA synthetases). tRNAs cope with the degeneracy of the genetic code in two manners: having more than one tRNA (with a specific anti-codon) for a particular amino acid; and 'wobble' base-pairing, i.e. permitting non-standard base-pairing at the 3rd anti-codon position. The record is from Rfam. Lineage: Bacteria; Pseudomonadati; Bacteroidota; Chitinophagia; Chitinophagales; Chitinophagaceae.
GGGCCUAUAGCUCAGUUGGUUAGAGCACCUGACUCAUAAUCAGGGGGUCCCAGGAUCAUGCCCUGGUGGGCCCA